AUACGAAGGGCCCAAGCGUUGCGCGGAAUUACUGGGCUUAAAGGGUGCGUAGGCGGACCCGCAAGUGCUUUGUGAAAUCCCACGGCUCAACCGUGGAAUGGCUUGGCAUACUGCGGGUCUUGAGGUCGGUAGAGGUCGCCGGAACUCUAGGUGUAGCGGUGAAAUGCGUAGAUAUCUAGAGGAACGCCCAUGGCGAAGGCAGGCGGCUGGGCCGAUUCUGACGCUGAGGCACGAAAGCGUGGGUAGCGAACGGGAUUAGAAACCCCAGUAGUCC
Molecule: ribosomal RNA, 274 nt
Filed under: uncultured bacterium
Lineage: Bacteria
Description: partial 16S ribosomal RNA
Rfam family: Bacterial small subunit ribosomal RNA
Source: RNAcentral